This 478-nucleotide ribosomal RNA is filed under the name uncultured bacterium. RNAcentral describes it as "partial 16S ribosomal RNA". It matches the Rfam family "Bacterial small subunit ribosomal RNA", at positions 28 to 507 of the family's 1533-position model. The record is from RNAcentral.
GAUGAACGCUAGCGGCAGGCCUAACACAUGCAAGUCGAGGGAGAAGCCCUUUCGGGGGCAGAAACCGGCGCACGGGUGCGUAACGCGUAUGCAACCUACCUUUCACAGGGGGAUAGCCCGAAGAAAUUUGGAUUAAUACCCCAUAAUAUUAUUGGAUGGCAUCAUUUGAUAAUUAAAACUGCGGUGGUGAAUGAUGGGCAUGCGUCCUAUUAGCUAGUUGGAGUGGUAACGGCACCCCAAGGCUACGAUAGGUAGGGGUCCUGAGAGGGAGAUCCCCCACACUGGUACUGAGACAGGGACCAGACUCCUACGGGAGGCAGCAGUGAGGAAUAUGGGUCAAGGGUCGGAAGACUGAACCAGCCAUGCCGCGUGCAGGAAGAAUGCCUUAUGGGUUGUAAACUGCUUUUAUAUGGGAAAAAUAAGGCGUACGUGUACGUUGAUGACGGUACCAUAUGAAUAAGCAUCGGCUAACUCCGUG